AAAAGAAACUAACAAGGAUUCCCCUAGUAGCGGCGAGCGAAGCGGGAAGAGCUCAAAUUUAUAAUCUGGCACCUUCGGUGUCCGAGUUGUAAUCUCUAGAAGUGUUUUCCGCGUUGGACCGCACACAAGUCUGUUGGAAUACAGCGGCAUAGUGGUGAGACCCCCGUAUAUGGUGCGGACGCCCAACGCUUUGUGAUACACUUUCGAAGAGUCGAGUUGUUUGGGAAUGCAGCUCAAAUUGGGUGGUAAAUUCCAUCUAAAGCUAAAUAUUGGCGAGAGACCGAUAGCGAACAAGUACCGUGAGGGAAAGAUGAAAAGCACUUUGGAAAGAGAGUUAACAGUACGUGAAAUUGUUGGAAGGGAAACGCUUGAAGUCAGACUUGCUUGCCGAGCAAUCGGUUUGCAGGCCAGCAUCAGUUUUCCGGGGUGGAUAAUGGUAGAGAGAAGGUAGCAGUUUCGGCUGUGUUAUAGCUCUUUGCUGGAUACACCUUGGGGGACUGAGGAACGCAGUGUGCCUUACGGCGGAUUUCUCGAGAUCUUCACACUUAGGAUGCUGGUGGAAUGGCUUUAAACG
This 574-nucleotide ribosomal RNA is filed under the name Rhodotorula taiwanensis. RNAcentral's name for it is "LSU rRNA". It matches the Rfam family "Eukaryotic large subunit ribosomal RNA", at positions 57 to 646 of the family's 3401-position model. The record is from RNAcentral. Lineage: Eukaryota; Fungi; Basidiomycota; Microbotryomycetes; Sporidiobolales; Sporidiobolaceae.